Molecule: transfer RNA, 69 nt
Filed under: Rattus norvegicus (Norway rat)
Lineage: Eukaryota; Metazoa; Chordata; Mammalia; Rodentia; Muridae
Rfam family: tRNA
About the family: Transfer RNA (tRNA) molecules are approximately 80 nucleotides in length. Their secondary structure includes four short double-helical elements and three loops (D, anti-codon, and T loops). Further hydrogen bonds mediate the characteristic L-shaped molecular structure. tRNAs have two regions of fundamental functional importance: the anti-codon, which is responsible for specific mRNA codon recognition, and the 3' end, to which the tRNAs corresponding amino acid is attached (by aminoacyl-tRNA synthetases). tRNAs cope with the degeneracy of the genetic code in two manners: having more than one tRNA (with a specific anti-codon) for a particular amino acid; and 'wobble' base-pairing, i.e. permitting non-standard base-pairing at the 3rd anti-codon position.
Source: Rfam by way of RNAcentral
GGGGAUUUAGCUCAGUGGUAGAGCGCUUGCCUAGCAAGUGCGAGGCCCUGGGUUCGGUCCCCAGCUCCA